RNAcentral lists this ribosomal RNA (634 nucleotides) under uncultured bacterium. RNAcentral describes it as "bacterial SSU rRNA". The stretch from base 1 to 542 matches the Rfam family "Bacterial small subunit ribosomal RNA", at positions 338 to 873 of the family's 1533-position model. The record is from RNAcentral.
CCUACGGGAGGCAGCAGUGGGGAAUUUUGGACAAUGGGCGCAAGCCUGAUCCAGCAAUGCCGCGUGAGUGAAGAAGGCCUUCGGGUUGUAAAGCUCUUUUGUCAGGGAAGAAACGGUGGGAGCUAAUAUCUCCCGCUAAUGACGGUACCUGAAGAAUAAGCACCGGCUAACUACGUGCCAGCAGCCGCGGUAAUACGUAGGGUGCAAGCGUUAAUCGGAAUUACUGGGCGUAAAGCGUGCGCAGGCGGUUUUGUAAGUCUGUCGUGAAAGCCCCGGGCUCAACCUGGGAAUUGCGAUGGAGACUGCAAGGCUUGAAUCUGGCAGAGGGGGGUAGAAUUCCACGUGUAGCAGUGAAAUGCGUAGAGAUGUGGAGGAACACCGAUGGCGAAGGCAGCCCCCUGGGUCAAGAUUGACGCUCAUGCACGAAAGCGUGGGGAGCAAACAGGAUUAGAUACCCUGGUAGUCCACGCCCUAAACGAUGUCUACUAGUUGUCGGGUUUUAAUUAACUUGGCAACGCAGCUAACGCGUGAAGUAGACCGCCUGGGGGAGGACGGUCGGUCGAGAAGUUAAACGUAACGUUAAAGAAAGUUAGACGGCGUUGAGACGNGCGACGGACGACGACGAGGGAGGAGG